UGUCAGCAUUUUAAUUCAGAGGUGGAUUCCAGUGGGUGGAGGAGGGCCAUUAUACACAUUUUUUUUCUUUCAGAUUUAUUGUCAGCAUUUUAAUUCAGAGGUGGAUUCCAGUGGGUGGAGGAGGGCCAUUAUACACAUUUUUCUCUUUCAGAUUUAUUGUCAGCAUUUUAAUUCAGAGGUGGAUUCCAGUGGGUGGAGGAGGGCCAUUAUACACAUUUUUUUUCUUUCAGAUUUAUUGUCAGCAUUUUAAUUCAGAGUUGGAUUCCAGUGGGUGGAGGAGGGCCAUUAUACACAUUUUUUUCUUUCAGGU
This is a non-coding RNA of Misgurnus anguillicaudatus (oriental weatherfish), 310 nucleotides long. NCBI's taxonomy places the organism in Eukaryota, Metazoa, Chordata, Actinopteri, Cypriniformes, Cobitidae. The record is from RefSeq and is a predicted model, not a curated record.